RNAcentral lists this ribosomal RNA (477 nucleotides) under uncultured bacterium. RNAcentral's name for it is "partial 16S ribosomal RNA". It matches the Rfam family "Bacterial small subunit ribosomal RNA", at positions 30 to 507 of the family's 1533-position model. The record is from RNAcentral.
AUUGAACGCUGGCGGCAUGCCUUACACAUGCAAGUCGAACGGUAACAGGUUAAGCUGACGAGUGGCGAACGGGUGAGAAAUACAUCGGAACGUGCCCAGUAGUGGGGGAUAGCCCGGCGAAAGCCGGAUUAAUACCGCAUACGACCUAAGGGUGAAAGGGGGGGAUCGCAAGACCUCUCGCUAUUGGAGCGGCCGAUGUCAGAUUAGCUAGUUGGUGGGGUAAAAGCUCACCAAGGCGACGAUCUGUAGCUGGUCUGAGAGGACGACCAGCCACACUGGGACUGAGACACGGCCCAGACUCCUACGGGAGGCAGCAGUGGGGAAUUUUGGACAAUGGGCGCAAGCCUGAUCCAGCCAUGCCGCGUGCGGGAAGAAGGCCUUCGGGUUGUAAACCGCUUUUGUCAGGGAAGAAAUCCUUUGGGUUAAUACCUCGGGGGGAUGACGGUACCUGAAGAAUAAGCACCGGCUAACUACGUG